UUGGCUUUAAUCCCUGACUACAGUUUGUCU
Molecule: non-coding RNA, 30 nt
Filed under: Mus musculus (house mouse)
Lineage: Eukaryota; Metazoa; Chordata; Mammalia; Rodentia; Muridae
Source: RNAcentral